This 253-nucleotide ribosomal RNA is filed under the name uncultured bacterium. RNAcentral's name for it is "partial 16S ribosomal RNA". It matches the Rfam family "Bacterial small subunit ribosomal RNA", at positions 524 to 776 of the family's 1533-position model. The record is from RNAcentral.
UACGUAGGCAGCGAGCGUUGUUCGGAGUUACUGGGCGUAAAGCGUGCGUAGGCGGUUUUGUAAGUUUGGUGUGAAAUCUCCCGGCUCAACCGGGAGGGUGCGCCGAAAACUGCAAGGCUGGAGUGUGGGAGAGGUAGGCGGAAUUCCUGGUGUAGCGGUGAAAUGCGUAGAUAUCAGGAGGAACACCUGUGGUGUAGACGGCUUACUGGACCACGACUGACGCUGAGGCACGAAAGCGUGGGGAGCAAACAGG